GACGAACGCUGGCGGCGUGCUUAACACAUGCAAGUCGAACGGUGAACCUCUUCGGAGGGGAUCAGUGGCGAACGGGUGAGUCACACGUGGGCAACCUGCCCCCGGCUCUGGGAUAACUCCAAGAAAUUGGGGCUAAUACCGUAUGUUCACCGCUUCCCGCAUGGGUGGUGGUGGAAAGGGUUUCCGGCUGGGGAUGGGCCCGCGGCCUAUCAGCUUGUUGGUGGGGUAGUGGCCUACCAAGGCGACGACGGGUAGCCGGCCUGAGAGGGUGACCGGCCACACUGGGACUGAGACACGGCCCAGACUCCUACGGGAGGCAGCAGUGGGGAAUAUUGCGCAAUGGGCGGAAGCCUGACGCAGCGACGCCGCGUGGGGGAUGACGGCCUUCGGGUUGUAAACCUCUUUCAGCAGGGACGAAGCGCAAGUGACGGUACCUGCAGAAGAAGCACCGGCCAACUACGUG
Molecule: ribosomal RNA, 463 nt
Filed under: uncultured bacterium
Lineage: Bacteria
Description: partial 16S ribosomal RNA
Rfam family: Bacterial small subunit ribosomal RNA
Source: RNAcentral